CCUACGGGAGGCAGCAGUGAGGAAUAUUGGUCAAUGGGCGGAAGCCUGAACCAGCCAAGUAGCGUGCAGGAUGACGGCCCUACGGGUUGUAAACUGCUUUUAUACGGGAAUAACGCGCCUUACGUGUAGGGCUUUGCAUGUACCGUAUGAAUAAGGACCGGCUAAUUCCGUGCCAGCAGCCGCGGUAAUACGGAAGGUCCGGGCGUUAUCCGGAUUUAUUGGGUUUAAAGGGAGCGUAGGCCGCAUGUCAAGCGUGCUGUGAAAUGUCCGGGCUCAACCCGGGCCUUGCAGCGCGAACUGGCGUGCUUGAGUCCGCGGAAAGCAGGCGGAAUUCGUCGUGUAGCGGUGAAAUGCAUAGAUAUCACGAGGAACCCCGAUUGCGAAGGCAGCCUGCCGGGGUGCGACUGACGCUGAGGCUCGAAGGUGCGGGUAUCAAACAGGAUUAGAUACCCUAGUAGUC
Molecule: ribosomal RNA, 460 nt
Filed under: uncultured bacterium
Lineage: Bacteria
Description: partial 16S ribosomal RNA
Rfam family: Bacterial small subunit ribosomal RNA
Source: RNAcentral